Molecule: long non-coding RNA, 921 nt
Organism: Sinocyclocheilus grahami
Lineage: Eukaryota; Metazoa; Chordata; Actinopteri; Cypriniformes; Cyprinidae
Exons: 3
Source: RefSeq, a predicted model, not a curated record
GAUGUCGCACUAACUUUAGAAACUUUAACGACUUAACAUGGUAGUCCGAGAUGUUUUCCUUGACUAUAUAGCAGAAAUUACCAUCAACGAAUACGAAGGCCUUUGGGAAAUAACUGCUAAAUUAGCCUUGAUUAACACUUAUGGUAUAAAUGCAAACUGUAAAUAUAACAUGGAAUUAUAUAGAAAUCUUUGGAACAUUACAUUCAGCAAUUUGAACAUACAGAGUAUUUUACAGGAGAUAUUCGCAUUUAUGGAAUUCCUUUUUUUCUGGAAUAUUUAAGAGAGUCUUCACAGCGCACAUUUCAGGAAGAGAGCGCACCAGGGAGGCGCGUGACAGAUCCGCGCACGCUCGCGCACGCUCACUUGUGCUGUGGCAAACACGUUCAAUUAUGGCAUUGCUCUUUUGCGAUUUCCCGAACAGAAACCGAAAACAUAAACGGGAUUAUGCUUAUUGAACUUCGUCGAUUUAGUGGAAUAAGUGGCUUCAAGCGCUUAUAUUGACCUGGCUACGCACUGGUUUCCCUGUGAUGUUUCUGGCUGUAAGGAUGGCUUACAUUCAGUAUACUCCCGCUGCUCAAGAACAAUCAUCUUCUUUAUGUAGCAUUUGUAGCAACUCGAAAACAAAUUAAAAGCGCAGUGUGCUAAAUGUUUAGACCAUAUGUGUAAAAAACGAUAAGGUAAACCAAAAGCCAAGUCCAAAGUUUCAUGAACCGAGAAGAUCAUGACAUUGUGAAUCCAAAUUGUAACACUUUUCUGGAAGCUGGACAAGAGCCAUGGGCAAGGAGCAGGACCUUCUUCUGGCUGUGAAGAAUGGAGACCUUCCUUUAGCUCAUAAACUUCUGGCCAAGAUCAAGACCAACAGAAAUAAGUUGCUGGGCUCCACAAAGAGGCUGAAUGUGAACUACCAAGACCAAGAUGGGU